UACAUGGGGUGCAAACGUUGCUCGGAAUCAUUGGGCGUAAAGCGCGCGUAGGCGGUUGCUUAAGUCGGAUGUGAAAGCCCUCGGCUUAACUGAGGAAGUGCAUCCGAAACUGAGCAGCUAGAGUACGAAAGAGGGUCGCGGAAUUCCCGGUGUAGAGGUGAAAUUCGUAGAUAUCGGGAGGAACACCGGUGGCGAAGGCGGGUUGCUGGGCCGACACUGACGCUGAAGCGCGAAAGCUAGGGGAGCGAACGGG
This 253-nucleotide ribosomal RNA is filed under the name uncultured bacterium. RNAcentral describes it as "partial 16S ribosomal RNA". It matches the Rfam family "Bacterial small subunit ribosomal RNA", at positions 524 to 776 of the family's 1533-position model. The record is from RNAcentral.